AGCUUUGCGCAGUGGCAGUAUCGUAGCCAAUGAGGUUUAUCUGAGGCAUGAUUAUUGCUAAUUAAAAUGGGGUCUGAUGCCCUCUUCUGGCACACAGGUCUAUGUGUAGAUAGAACACUCAUAUGCAUAA
Molecule: non-coding RNA, 130 nt
Organism: Rattus norvegicus (Norway rat)
Lineage: Eukaryota; Metazoa; Chordata; Mammalia; Rodentia; Muridae
Source: Rfam